Long non-coding RNA from Oncorhynchus keta (chum salmon), 477 nucleotides. RefSeq lists it as uncharacterized. The transcript has 5 exons. The record is from RefSeq and is a predicted model, not a curated record. Lineage: Eukaryota; Metazoa; Chordata; Actinopteri; Salmoniformes; Salmonidae.
CCUAGUGGUUAGAGUGUAGGGUCGGCAGGUAGUCUAGUGGUUAGAGUGUAGUGUCGGCAGGUAGUCUAGUGGUUAGAGUGUAGGGUCGGCAGGUAGUCUAGUGGUUAGAGUGUAGGGUCGGCAGGUAGCCUAGUGGUUAGAGUGUAGGGUCGGCAGGUAGCCUAGUGGUUAGAGUGUAGGGUCGGCAGGUAGUCUAGUGGUUAGAGUGUAGGGUCGGCAGGUAGUCUAGUGGUUAGAGUGUAGGGUCGGCAGGUAGUCUAGUGGUUAGAGUGUAGGGUCGGCAGGUAGUCUAGUGGUUAGAGUGUAGGGUCGGCAGGUAGCCUAGUGGUUAGAGUGUAGGGUCGGCAGGUAGCCUAGUGGUUAGAGUGUAGGGUCGGCAGGUAGCCUAGUGGUUAGAGUGUAGGGUCGGCAGGUAGCCUAGUGGUUAGAGCGUUGGAAUCCCUGAGCAGACAAGGUACAAAUCUGUCGUUCUUCCCC